This 253-nucleotide ribosomal RNA is filed under the name uncultured bacterium. RNAcentral's name for it is "partial 16S ribosomal RNA". It matches the Rfam family "Bacterial small subunit ribosomal RNA", at positions 524 to 776 of the family's 1533-position model. The record is from RNAcentral.
UACAGAGGUUUCGAGCGUUGUUCGGAUUUACUGGGCGUAAAGGGUGCGUAGGCGGCCUCGCAUGUCGGAUGUGAAAGCCCCCGGCUUAACCGGGGAACGGCAUUCGAAACGGCGGGGCUAGAGUACAGGAGAGGAGAGCGGAAUUCUCGGUGUAGCGGUGAAAUGCGUAGAUAUCGAGAGGAACGCCGGCGGCGAAGGCGGCUCUCUGGAAUGAUACUGACGCUGAGGCACGAAAGCUGGGGGAGCAAACAGG